This 497-nucleotide ribosomal RNA is filed under the name uncultured bacterium. Its description in RNAcentral is "partial 16S ribosomal RNA". It matches the Rfam family "Bacterial small subunit ribosomal RNA", at positions 28 to 507 of the family's 1533-position model. The record is from RNAcentral.
GAUGAACGCUGGCGGCGUGCCUAAUACAUGCAAGUCGAGCGAACGGACGAGAAGCUUGCUUCUCUGAUGUUAGCGGCGGACGGGUGAGUAACACGUGGAUAACCUACCUAUAAGACUGGGAUAACUUCGGGAAACCGGAGCUAAUACCGGAUGAUAUUUUGAACCGCAUGGUUCAAAAGUGAAAGACGGUCUUGCUGUCACUUAUAGAUGGAUCCGCGCUGCAUUAGCUAGUUGGUAAGGUAACGGCUUACCAAGGCAACGAUGCAUAGCCGACCUGAGAGGGUGAUCGGCCACACUGGAACUGAGACACGGUCCAGACUCCUAAGGGAGGCAGCAGUAGGGAAUCGUCCGCAAUGGGCGAAAGCCUGACGGAGCAACGCCGCGUGAGUGAUGAAGGUCUUCGGAUCGUAAAACUCUGUUAUUAGGGAAGAACAUAUGUGUAAGUAACUGUGCACAUCUUGACGGUACCUAAUCAGAAAGCCACGGCUAACUACGUG